AGCUCUUUCGGCGGGAAAGAAAACUCGGGCGUUAAUACCGUGCGGCCUUGACGUUACCCGCACAAGAAGCACCGGCUAACUCCGUGCCAGCAGCCGCGGUAAUACGGAGGGUGCAAGCGUUAAUCGGAAUUACUGGGCGUAAAGCGCACGUAGGCGGGCAAUUAAGUCGGAUGUGAAAUCCCCGGGCUUAACCUGGGAACUGCAUCCGAUACUGGUUGCCUAGAGUAUGGAAGAGGGAAGCGGAAUUCCAGGUGUAGCGGUGAAAUGCGUAGAUAUCUGGAGGAACAUCAGUGGCGAAGGCGGCUUCCUGGUCCAAUACUGACGCUGAGGUGCGAAAGCGAGGGGAGCAAACAGGAUUAGAUACCCUUGGGUAGUCAA
This 378-nucleotide ribosomal RNA is filed under the name uncultured Thioalkalivibrio sp. Its description in RNAcentral is "bacterial SSU rRNA". It matches the Rfam family "Bacterial small subunit ribosomal RNA", at positions 429 to 797 of the family's 1533-position model. Lineage: Bacteria; Pseudomonadati; Pseudomonadota; Gammaproteobacteria; Chromatiales; Ectothiorhodospiraceae. The record is from RNAcentral.